This 492-nucleotide ribosomal RNA is filed under the name uncultured bacterium. Its description in RNAcentral is "partial 16S ribosomal RNA". It matches the Rfam family "Bacterial small subunit ribosomal RNA", at positions 29 to 507 of the family's 1533-position model. The record is from RNAcentral.
AGUGAACGCUGGCGGUAGGCCUAACACAUGCAAGUCGAACGGCAGCACAGUAAGAUCUUGCUCUUACGGGUGGCGAGUGGCGGACGGGUGAGGAAUACAUCGGAAUCUACUUUUUCGUGGGGGAUAACGUAGGGAAACUUACGCUAAUACCGCAUACGACCUACGGGUGAAAGCAGGGGAUCUUCGGACCUUGCGCGAUUGAAUGAGCCGAUGUCGGAUUAGCUAGUUGGCGGGGUAAAGGCCCACCAAGGCGACGAUCCGUAGCUGGUCUGAGAGGAUGAUCAGCCACACUAGAACUGAGACACGGUCCAGACUCCUACGAGAGGCAGCAGUGGGGAAUAUUGGACAAUGGGCGCAAGACUGAUCCAGCCAUACCGCGUGGGUGAAGAAGGCCUUCGGGUUGUAAAGCCCUUUUGUUGGGAAAGAAAAGCAGUAGGUUAAUACCCCGCUGUUCUGACGGUACCCAAAGAAUAAGCACCGGCUAACUUCGUG